AAGGAAAGUUCACUGGAGAUCAGUAUGCUGCAAAUCCAAGAUUACCCAAUAUAAUAUGGAAGUAUACGCAGGGCGUAAUGCAGUAGUAAAACAGACGAAUGGAUUUUAAGAUAUAUUCACAAAUGUUUCAUUAAGAGAUUUUAAUGUGACGUAGCAUUAUACAAGAAGGUAUAUAUAGAUGUGCAAAAUUGAUAAGACUAUUCGAAAUGUUACAUUUUAUCUCUCAAAUCUGCCGAUUACACUAUAAUUAAAACAGAGAACAUACAGACAAAAGAGAGAACAUACACGCAAAAGUUACUGUCAGGUAAAUAUACACAUUUUCUUUUUACGAACAUAUUGGAAAUUCAUUGUUUCUAUUAAUAUAUUUUUGAUAGACAUUGAUCAUAGACCCUAAUAAUUUCUCAUUAUUUUUACAACACUUUCAUUUAAUUUCAUUCAAUAAAUACCCCAAUGGGACAAAUUAUGUUGGAAUCUUUAUAUCUUAAUCCUGAUCUCCACGACUAAUGCUGAGUUCUUUUGCUUUAUCCAUUUUCGUUUUGUUUGGUCUUGUCAGAUAUUAGCCCCCUUUUCAGCUUCUUUUUACAGUACGUUUUUUAAAAAUAACCCAGAUUGUGGUUUUUACAUUUUCCUCUCAACUGUCCUCAGUUGUUUUUUUUUUGCGGAGUGAGGAGGGGGCUUUCCUGAAGACAGAAAACAAUUUUUCUUUGGUCAUAUUUGAUAUGUACUCUCUUUACUCUCUUUUACUCUUUUACUUGUUUCAGUCAUUUGACUGCGGCCAUGCUGGAGCACCGCCUUUAGUCGAGCAAAUCGACCCCGGGACUUAUUCUUUGUAAGCCCAGUACUUAUUCUAUCGGUCUCUUUUGCCGAACCGCUAAGUGACGGGGACGUAAACACACCAGCAUCGGUUGUCAAGCAUUGCUAGGGGGACAAACACAGACACACAAACAUAUACACACACACUUAUAUAUAUAUACAUAUAUACGACAGGCUUCUUUCAGUUUCCGUCUACCAAAUCCACUCACAAGGCAUUGGUCGGCCCGGGGCUAUAGCAGAAGACACUUGCCCAAGAUGCCACGAAGUGGGACUGAACCCGGAACCAUGUGGUUGGUUAGCAAGCUACUUACCACACAGCCACUCCUGCGCCUAUGUAUUUGUAUUAAUUUCAUUAUUUACUGAAUAUUUUAUAUCCCAGCAGUAGAUAUUUUAUACUAACCCUGUUAUUGCAGAAGAGCUCUGACUGCGAUAUUCGCUGAAAAUAUAUUUGUCUGCUUUUGGAUAGGAUAUCCUAAAUGCUGCUAUUAUUUCUCUGAAUUAGUAAGACAAGGCAGGCAGUCUUGUCAUGCUAAUUCAGUUAGUGUCCAGUUGGGUGAAUAACUAUAUUUUAGUUGUAGAGUACCAAGAAAAUUCUUGUUAAGUGUGUUGGAUAGUCAUAUACUCUUAGCUGGCUGUUCACAAUGUUAGGCGGGUUGUCUGUAAAGACAAUGACCACAGUAAAAUUUAAUUGAGCUUUCAAAUAUUUUAUUAACCUGCAUCGUUUAUAUUCACAAGUGUAUUUCCAAUAAAUUAAUGGAACAAUGUUCAACGAACAUAGCAGUUAGAAAUCGUCUGUAUUACAACUUGCUAGAUAAUAUUAUGAAAGUAGUGCACAGAAUUUAAAUUGCUGCAUAUGCGAGUAAUUAAUGUGCCUUUCUUGAUACUUCGAGUCAAGGUUGGUGCCUUUUGGCAAUUACGACACAAGUAUGUUACAUAAUGGAAGUGAAAGCGACAAAUUCACUGAGACAAGUAACAUCGAUUCCCUUAGACAGCUGAAUUUGAGAUUGAGUUUGCCACCUUUUAUAGCUGUGAGUCACACUUCUAGAAUCUUGGGCAAAUUUGUUUGUCGGUAAAAUUUGCACAUUUCCUUUAUAGUUUGCUGCAUCAACCAUAAGUCAGCCAAUGCUGAUUGGUCAAGGUGUUAACGUGUGGUGUUAAUACUUUCUAUAGCGAUACUUUUCCUUUUAUGGUGAUACAUUAGUUCGUGGUUCUGGAUAGGGAAAUUUUGAGAAUUUGAGAAAUAUGGUUCCAAAUUCAGCAAGGGAACUUGCCACAUUAUUGGAUUUCUUUUAUGUAGUUAGAUCUGCUUUUAGUAUUAAUAUAAUCUAAGGCAUCCAUAACAUUCAUUCAUAACCUUGUCUUUCAUUUGCAUGUUAUAUUCUUCUAGCUCUUUCAUUGAUUCCUAGGGAUUUGUCAAUCAGGUCUUGGUCCAAUUCUCUCAUCUAUUUUUCUUUAUCAAACAAUAUUAUUAGUAUUUUUAUAUUUUUUUCCCUGGCCUGUCAUGAUUUAUCUGAAUAUUACGUAUUUUUCUAAAUCUGUCGUAUUUUUAUACGUUAUUAUUAAUAUUAUUUCACUUUUAAUCUGCAUGUUUGUUACAGUCAGUUGCCAAGAGACACCUAACGUCUCAGGGUGAGAGGUGUUGCAGUAUGACUGAAAGCUGGGGGAGGGGAAGUGGCAGGGACAGUAGCGAAAUAUCAUCACGUAAUACAAUACAGACAUUUGAAUGGAUAGGAUAUUUCUAAGGAUCUAGACAGUAUUUGUCAGCACAAUCUUUUGGGUUUCUCUGAGACAUGGUUCUCCUGGGAUCUUAUCUAGAUGUUUCUGACAUCCCCUUUUUAUCAUACCUAGGGCGCCUACAAUAACAGGAAAAGUUCUUGCUUUAAGAUGCCACAUCUUGCGUAUUUCAAUUUCCAGGUCCUUAUAUUUACUUAAUUUGUCAAAAUUUUUUUAGAUAUAUUUUUAUCAGUGGGAAUACUUACAUCUAUUAGUCUACAAGUAUUUUCUUCCCUGUCUUUAAUAAUUAUGCCUGGUCGAUUAGCCUGGAUUUACUGUCAGUGUUGACUGGAAAAUCUCAGAGGAUAGUGACAUUUCUACCUUCAACGACUGACUCAGGAUGAUGUUCAUACCAGUAAGCGGGAGUGCUGAUUUUGUAAUGUUUACAUAGUUUCCAAGGUAAUUACUGAUCUACCCUAUAGUGGCAAUUUCUGUAUUCGUUUAGUGUCAGCACAGGACAUCCCUAGAUGAAAUGGUCUGUUUUGUCAAAUGUGUCGCAGAAUCUGCAUUUAGGGUCAGAACCGUUUUGAAGAACGUUAGCUUGGUAGUUUUUGGUAAGCAAACUUUGAUUUUAUGCAGCCAAUAUGAAACCCUCUCAGCCACUGAUGGGUUGUUGCUUGCUCUACACCAGCAUUUCGGCUUCGAAGUAUAUACUCUCCAUGCAGAGGCUUCUGGUUUCACCGCUCCUGAAUUUGUGUCUACUCUUUCUUUUUUGCAGUGUUUGAUCCGUUUUGCUUUUUUUGGUGGCAGUGGUUUCAGGCUCUUCAUCUAAUUCAGGGUUCAUGCCAAGUUCCCUUGCGAACUUGCAAGCUUCCUUGACAAUAGAAUGUGAUUUUUUGCUGCUUUCGUGUUAGAAUACAAACCGCAGCAUCCAAUCCUCUGUACUAGAUAAGUACCCGUUCCUUGCUAUUGUGGAAGUCUUAUAGAACAGUUCUACGUGCAUCAUUUAUCUUUCCCCAUUACUUCUAGGAAGGUAGACACGAUCAACAUCUGUUUUUGUGUGGUGCAUAUUCUUAGGUGCUAGUAGUUUUCUUGUUUUCCUGUCCAGUUGUUAUCAUCGUCAUUAUCAUCAGUAUUACUACUACUACUACUACUACUACUACUACUACUACUACUACUACUACUACUACUACUGCUGCUGCUGCUGCUGCUGCUGCUGCUGCUACUACUACUACUACUACUACUACUAUUAUUAUCAUUAUUAUUAUUAUCAAUUAUUAUUAUUAUCAAUUAUUAUUAUUACCAAUUAUUAUUAUUAUUAUUAUUAUUAUUGUUAUUAUUAUUAUUAUUAUUGUUAUUAUUAUUAUUAUUAUUAUUAUUAUUGAGUGAAAGAGCAAUGCCUGCCAUCAAAGUGACACUGGGACACAAAUAUACGAAGCCCAAUAUACCCAUCAUGAUUACCCCUCUGAUAAGGGUACACCAGACACAUGCAUCACAACCAUAUGUGCGCGACAUGGUAAUUUCAUAUCAAGAUAAACAAACAGCGCAUGACCUUGCAGGUGGGGCCCAGUUAGAAUUUUCUUCUGGUCGAUUAGCCCAUCCCAAAGGUGAAUUAUUCAAACCCCCCAAAAUUUCUCUCAACACAUGAAUAUGAUGCACCCCAACUACUUCUGCUUGUGAUCAGAGAUUCAAUCAGUUAAUAUCAAAAGCCAUGAGAGGAAUUUAUAAUUAUUAUUAUUAUUAUUUUAUUAUUAUUAUUAUUAUUAUCAUUAUUAUUAUUAUUAUUAUUAUUAUUAUUAUUAUUCUAUGUUUGACUUUUGCUUUAUAUUUGUACAAGUUGGCUCCAAGUCUCACCCAGAGACCUCAAGAGACAACAGGGUUGGAAGUUCAUGCUGUUGUUAUGCCUAGUGUGCCAUAUAUUUGGGGGGUGGGGAUGUUGUACUAAUGAAUGUCUAAAAAGAAAAAAAAAAGUUUUUUUUUUUUUUUUUUUUUUUUUAAACCGAAAAUUAUGUUUGUUUUAAACCUUGAGAUUACAUAGAGAGUAUUUUGCGUAGGAUAUGAGCAGUUCCCAUGAGCACUAUCUUUUGAACUUCUGCCAUUUUUGGGUUUCCUGGUAUCUGAGUUAGGUAGCUAUCAGCCCCUUUUGCUAUCAUUCCCAGGGCACCUAUGACAACAGGUAUUGUUUUAGUCUUCAGCUUCCACAUUUUGCUGAUUUCUAUUUCAAGAUCUUUAUAUUUGCUCAGUUUUUGGUAGGUCUUGACAGAUACGUUUAUAUCGAUUGGGACAGUCAUAUCAAUGAGGAGGCAUGUUCUUUGUUUGAAGUUUUUCAAUAUGAUGUCUGGCCUAUUUGCAUCUAUCUUCCUGUCAGUUUGAAUGGUGAAGUUCCAGAGGAGUGAGAUGUGGUCAUUUUCAAGCACUGGGGGUGGUUUGUGUUCCCACCAGUUUUUUUCAUGGGGCAAAUCCAGGUUUUUACAGAUUACCCAGUGAAUAUAUUGUGCAGCUCUAUCGUGCCUGUUGAGAUACUCUGUAGGCGCUAGAAGACUGCACUUGGAGACCACAUGGUCAAUGGUUUCAUUUUGUUGCUUGCAUACACGACACGUUGGACUGCUUCUGAUCUUUAAUAUGUUGGCCUGGUAGUUUCUUGUUGGUAGGCAUUGAUCUUGAGCUGCUAUGAUAAACCCCUCUGUUUCAGAUUUUAAGCCAGAGGCCAUUAGCCAUUGAUGGGUCAGGGCUUUGUCGAUAUCUGCAUUAUUCGCUCUCUUUGGGUAUUUGCCAUAGAGAGGUUUUUCUUGCCAUUUAUUAUUCAGAAUAUCUAAGGCCGCAGUUUUGGCACGGGUUUUCAUGCGCCUAGCUUUUUCUGUGCUUGUUUCUUGUAUAUCUAUCUCUAAUUCCGAAAUUGGUUGUAUUCGGAAUUCACUUAGAUAUUCCUUUGCCUGUUUUGUGACUGAGUAUGAUGCUUUCUUGUUUUCAUGUUUUGAGACAAGUUUUAGCAUCCAGUCCUCAGAGUUUUUCAGGUAGGUGUCUAGGCCAAUUGUAGCAAUCUUCAUUGUUAUUGCCAGUUGCAAAAGACCACGGCCUCCCUCUUUUCUUGGCAGAUAGAGUCGUUCUGUAUCUGCCUUAGGGUGGUGCAUUCUAUGCAUUGUCAACAGUUUCCUUAUUUUUCUGUCGAGCUGACAUAUUUCAGUAAUUGACCAGUUAACAAUAUUGAAACUGUAAGUCACGACUGGUAUAGCUAAUGCAUUGAUUGCUUCGAUCCUGUUUCUUGCAUUCAGCUCUGUCUUGAGUAUAGCUCUUACUCUUCGAUAGCAUUCUCUCCUGAUCCUUUCCUUCAUCUCUGAAUGCCUUAUUCCGUUCCCUUCAAUUAUCCCUAGGUACUUGUAGCUCUCCGCUGGGUCUAGUUCUUUUAUGACAUUCUGUUGGUCAAGGUUAACGUUAGAUGUUUCUGUCAUUUUUCCUUUGAUAAAGGUAGCCUUUGCACAUUUAUCGAGGCCGAAUUGCAUUCUGAUGUCGUCACUGAAUUGUUUGACUAUCGCUAGUAAGCCCUUGAGUUGUUGAUCAUUUUUUGCAAAAGCUUUAAAUCAUCCAUGUAAACGAGAUGAUUUAUAUUUUUAUCAAACAUUUUAUACCCGUACUGCGCGUCAUUGAGCAGCUUUGAGAGAGGUAUUAAGGAUAAACAAAAGAGGAGUGGUGACAGUGAGUCACCCUGGAAAAUGCCACACGAAAUUUUUACAUCACCAGCAUUUAGGGAUUCACUGUCACUGUUCAGAGUUAGUGUGGUUCUCCAUGAUCUCAUACUUACAGUCAAGAAGUUUCGCAGAGUUGGUGCUAUCUUAUACAUUUCAAGGCAUUUCCUAAUCCAGCUAUGUGGUAGGCUAUCAAAAGCCUUUUUAUAGUCUAUCCAGGCUAUUGAUAAGUUUUUGUGUCGUUUGUGACAAUCUUCUAAGAUCAUCUUAUUGAUGAGUAGUUGGUCUUUACAGCCGUAGGAUCCACGUUUACAUCCUUUCUGUUCAUUAGGGAAUAUGCUGCUGUCUGUUAAAAAACUAUAGGUAUAUUCCGUCAGGACAGAUGUUAGUGUUUUGUACAUAGUUGUUAAGCAAGUUAUGGGUCUAUAGUUUUUUGGUUCAUUUGUUUCUUCACUUUUUGGAAAUGUUAACCCAUUAACUAGCCAGGGAGGCAUCCUACUAGGGUGUUGCAAAACAUCAUUGUACAGUUAUUAUUAUUAUUAUUAUUAUUAUUAUUAUUAUUAUUAUUAUUAUUAUUAUUAUUAUUAUUAUUAUUAUUCAGUAGUUUUAUUUUAUAGCGUGCUUUCACUUCACUACCGAGCACAGCUCUGUGUGCCUUGGGUAUGUGCUGUGAUUUGUUGUGAUGCUCUGAUGGUUACUGUAUUGAAGGUGUUUGGAGUCUUGCAUGCGUCGCGGGCUUGCUACCUGCAGCUUACAGAACCAUGCUAUCCGUUCUUUUCAGUUAAUACUUUCCUGAUUAUUCUGGCUCAGGUUGAGUCGUAUUCCUGGUAGAAUUUGUGUGGGUAGCGGGUUGCUACCUGUAACUUUAGGUAUCCACAAGUUUUCAGCUAUCUUUCAAGUGCUUAGAACCCUCCUGAUAAUCCUUGCUGUCCCUAGAAGACAAACUUUCUGUAGAAGUUCUACAAGGCAUUCUAAUCCAAUCUCUUUCAGCCAUUUGUCUACAUCUUGACUUACGCACCAAUUAUUAUAGGGACGACCUUUAUUGUUCUCAUGCUCCAAAUUAUUCCUAUUUCAAAUUUUAAGGGAUUGUAUUUUUUAUAUAUUUUUUGUCCUCUUAUUUUACGAUUUUAGAAUCAAACGGGCAUAAUGGAUCGAUAAGUAAGCAACUUCGAUUUUCCUUAUCUACAAUUGUUAUGUCCAGUCUAUUAUUUUCUAACUUCUUGUCUGUUUGAUUAGAGAGGUCCCACAAAAUCUUACAGUUUUCCAACUCCAGUACUCUUUCGACUCGGUGAUUGUACCAUGUGUUUCCAGCUUCAAAUCCCCAUUCCUGGCACUGUUUUCAAUGUAACACUUUUACAACCUAAUCGUGCCUCCGUUUCUUAUAUUCUUCCUGUGUCAACUUGGGGCAUUCUUCUAGCGCACUUUUCGACCCGAAAUUCCAUACCUACGUCAUUUGAGAAAAUGCAGACAGUAUGUACAAGACUUUCAAACUGUUUCUCAGUAUUCGCAUAAACCUUUAUAUCAUCCAUGAAAAGAAAAUGAUUUAUCUGACCAUUUCUUUUUUCCAAAUCGUAAGCAAUUUUACCUUUUCGUAGUAUCAUAGUGAGCGGUGUCAUGGCCAAUACGAGUAGUAAAGAAGCAAAGCUAUCAACUUGGAUGUUCCAUGUUUGAUGCUCACUUUUUAUUUUCCUCCGAUCAAUUCAGUAUUCCAAUAUUUCAUACUUUCAUUAAGGAUUUAUUAUUAUUAUUGUUGUUGUUGUUAUUGUUAUCGUCUGAAAGAGCUUUGCGAUAGUCAAACCAUGCCAUGCUCAGGUUUGUAUGUCUUCUCUUACAGUUCCUGGUAAUUAGAUUAUCAAUUAAGAGCUGAUCUUUCGUUCUCCGGCACCUUUUUCGGCCGGCACCCUUUCUAUUCACUGGGUAGCAGCCCAAUUUUUUCCAAGUAUCUUUGCAGUUCACCGACCAAAGCACCUAACAUUAGUUUCCACAUUAGCGGAAAGCAUGUUAUUGGUCUCAAGUUGGAUGCUUGGCACAUAACAAUGUCUUCCCCUUUGUCAUUCAGCUGGGUACUGCGCCUUCCUGCAAGCACUCAUCUAUCUGUUGUGCUAUCCUUUCAUGGAUCCCUCUCAACUUCUUCCUCCAAUACCCUUGGAACCCAUCGAGUCCUGGGCUCUUCCAGUUUGAAAAUUUUCUUAACUACAUUUUUAUCAUUUCUGUAGUUACCUUUAUGUCUUCUUGAACUUCUAUAUUUCUUAACCUAUCUUGUAUUUCAUGCAGCCACUCAGCUUCAUCAUUAUGCCCCGACGAUAUCACAAAUUUGCAGUGGGACCUAAAUGCAAUAUACAAGUGGAUUGAACAAAUCAACAAGCUGUUUAAUUCAUGAAAAUUUCAAGCACUGUGCUAUCAGCUCACAAAUGCAUCAUAGCCUGCAAAUACGGGACCCGAAGGCACUGCAGCCUUAGAGUCACAGACAGUGAGAGAUCUAGGGAUCAUUGUAUUUAAUGACGCAUCAUUUCGUGUACAUUACCAACUUGGCAACAAAGUGUAGAUAAUUCGCAGGGUGGGUGCCGAAGUCCUUCAGGACAAGAGAAUAAAGAAGUCAGGUCGACCCUGUGGAAACCUUUGUUAUUAGCCGUCUAGACUACUAUUCUCAGCCGUGGUCACCGCAUUGUGGCAAACUAAUAGCGGAGCAUGGAGCGAUGCACUAAAAUUAUUGCCACAGUGCAGCAGAUGAACUACUGGGAAAAGUUGAAAAAUCUACAACUUUAUUCUCUGGACCGGAGAUGCAAGAGAUAUGUAAUAAUUUACGUGUAGAAAAUUCUGGAAGGGUUAGUAGAUAACUUUGGCAUCAAGAGUUAUGCAGUAUUAACGGUACUGUUCCCUCGGUCAAAAGUGGGGACAAGGUACUAUAAUAGCUUAAGAUUCAAAGGCUCACGGCUAUUUAAAGUUCUGUCAAAGAGGAACUAGACAUUCUCCUAUCAAUGAUACCAAAUGUAUCAACGUAACAGCUAGAGGUACAGAUGCGUGCGGCGGUGUCAAACUCCUACAUACACCAAAUGAGCCAACAACCAGAAAAAAAAGCACACGCAAGAGUGGUGAUAUGAAAUCCCGUCACCGUGAGAAAAUCAACCACAUAAGGGAACUGUUGAAAGGUUAUAAAGCCACGGUGGUGUUCCAGCAUGAUCGCAACCGCGUGGCUGAAAUGUAUAAAAGAAGUGAAAGAAAAUUGGUUAAUGUUAAGGUAAAUGAGAUGUUUUUAAGUAAAUUCCUCAUUGCACAGUGAACAUUUGAUUGCAGAGUUAUCAGUACAAAGAGUAUAGUAACACACAGACAGAGAGGAAGCGUAACGCUUUACAGAAUUCAAAGCCGUGUUUAUUCACGGCAUAAGACCAAAGAUUUGCUACAACACCCCAAAAUAUAUAAUGAAGUAGAUUAUAAAAAAAUAAUUGCAGAAUAUGUGGAUGCUGUGACAAAAAUAUUAUCCUUUGUACUGUGUUCAGACCAAAAGCAAUAAUGUAAAUUGACAUGAUAGAGUUUCAAGUUUCAUACGUUAUGGACUACGCACCCAUAAGAGAUGGUACAAACACACGCCUCACGCGGUCUCUGAUAAUAGCAACGUGACCGUUAUACCGAUUCACACAGGCAGGAAUAUUGCGAAAGAUGGCCCGGAUAUUACCGACAAACAUCACCAGGAAAAGAAAUAUAAGAUGGAAACGGUGAUUCAGUUCCUGGACGCCAAUAUAUGUUUCCGAAAGAAAUAGAAUAAUAGCGAAAUAACAAGAUAUGGAUAUAGAAACAAUAAUGAUAGAUACCAAGAGAAGAAUAAAAAGACAUGACGACAAAUACAAAAAUGUAAACCAGAACUUAUAUGCAUAAACAACACACAGAACGUAGCAUUUCUCUCUCUCUCUCUCUCUCUCCCUCUCUCUCUCUCUCACACACACACACACACACACACACACACAUACACACACACACACACACUUGUCCAGUUACAGUACCUUCUUCCAGUUUAAUCUCUAGGCAAAAAUCGAAUUAUAUUUGCCAUUGUCACAGACAUUUCAUGAAAUAAACUUAUUAGAGGAAACUUCUCUCUCUCUACCAUCACCGGUCGUGGCUGCUAUGUAAGAAGCUUGCUUCCCAACCACAUCGUUCCGGGUUCAGUCCCACUGCGUGGCACCUUGGGCAAGUGUCUUCUACUAUAGCCUUGAGAAUGGAUUUGGUAGACGGAAACUGAAAGAAGCCCGUUGUAUGUAUAUAUAUAUGUAUGUAUGUAUGUAUGUAUGUGUGUAUAUAUGUGUGUGUAUGUAUAUAUUCAUGUGUGCGUGUGUAUUUGUGUCUGUGCUUGUCGCCCCCGACCUUUGCUUGACAACCAAUGUUGGUGUUUACGUCCCCGUAAGUUUACGGUUCGGCAUAAGAGAUCGAUAGAAUAAGUACUAGACUUACAAAGAAUAAGUGCUGAGGUCGAUUUAUUCCACUAAAACCUUUUAAGGUUGUGUUCCAGCAUGGCCGCAGUUAAAUGACUGAAGCAAAUGAAAGAUCCACAAUCUGAUCUCGUGAACAGUGAACAAGUGCACAGAGGAUGGUUUCGUCGUUCUUUCCACAUAUCAAAAAGAUAACACUGAUGACCUUGUAGUGUCUUGUGAGCAGUGGCGGCUCGUAGAUCAAAUUAGUUGGGGUGCCGCUUCAGAAAAUUUUUAGCCGUUGUUUUAAUAUUCUUUUUUUUCUACUCUAGGCACAAGGCUC
Molecule: long non-coding RNA, 10952 nt
Filed under: Octopus vulgaris (common octopus)
Lineage: Eukaryota; Metazoa; Mollusca; Cephalopoda; Octopoda; Octopodidae
Source: RNAcentral